RNA transcript from Nelumbo nucifera (sacred lotus), 1510 nucleotides. RefSeq lists it as uncharacterized. NCBI's taxonomy places the organism in Eukaryota, Viridiplantae, Streptophyta, Magnoliopsida, Proteales, Nelumbonaceae. The record is from RefSeq and is a predicted model, not a curated record.
GGUUCUAUUCGGCUUUUAGAUUUUUCUUGCUCUACCGGCCCUUUUGAAAAAACCGCCUGGAGUAGAAGCGGACGGAGUCCGGAAAUGUUCGUCACGGGGCGUUCCUCCACCAACUUCCGCACAUCGAGAACAUCUUCCCGCCACUUGUAUGUUGUUUUUCGUGGGGAGGUGUUCAGUGUGAGGAGAGCUCUGUGAGGAGCAAAUCCCGAUUCGAGCGAGACGGCUCAGAUUGCAUGCCAUCUGUCCCAACCGAAGUUUGCGUUUCCGCUGGUGCUUUUCAGUUUGCGCUUUCGUCGUCCCUGUGUAAAUGGAAGAACUUGAAGACAUUGAAGCUUUUGCACACAUGCUUAAUGGCGGGCUGGAUUUUGGCGUCGAUGUCGUUGAAUUGGAUAACGAUGAACUUCCCUGGUCCGUGGUUACGUGCUGAAAAUCCACUUAGGGAGGAAUGGCGUAGACCAGUCUUCAGAGAUUUGAUGCUAACUUAUUGCCAAGCCAGGGAAAGAGAUGUGGGGUCCUCGCAAAGGAAUGCUGGAGUUGGUUCUUCGGGUAGGCACAUGCAUGUUGGUGAAUCUUCUGGUGCUAGGUCUUCUUCUGGUAAUCCUUCUUCUUCAGGAGUUGGUGGGAGUUCUAGCUCUCGUAACGAUGGCAGUGCUCAGCUCGAGAAUCAGAAUGCUGACGUUACUACGUCUUUGGCAGCGAGCUUUGAUACUGUCUUGCGAAAUGUGUUCCCUGACAGUCCCAGAGGAGGUGUAGAAGGCUCUUCUGGUAUCCGUAUUGGGGUUAGUUUCUCUGGCUUGGCUUCGGAUGCUUCAUCUACUCCUGAUCCAGAGCCAGUUGAUCGGGUCAUUUCCUUGGAUUCUAUUACCGUUCCUGCAACUAGUUUCUCUUCUGGGGUUCAGGUUUUGGGUCAACCAUCUAGUGAUGCCUCUAUCUCCAGGAGAUCCUCUGUUUGCUCUGUUUCGGAAGGGGAUGUGGUUCAUGAUAAUACUCAGGUUUGAGUUGUGGUAUUGCGAUUUUUUGGAAGGAUGAAAUGGAUGUUGAUAUCUUUUAUUCUUCUGAUAGGUGGAGUCUUUUUGGCUUGUGGAGAAGUCUGUCACCAUAGAAUCAGACUCCUUACUGGCAUAGCCCUUGACUGAUUCUCCACUACCUGGGAGAUUUUUGUCUUUUGGAUGGGGAUUCACUAUGUUUCUUCUUCUUUCUCUUUUGCCAAAUUCAUGUAUAUAAAUAGAAUUCUUAAUAGGGCUGCGCAUGAGAUGGCACAACAUAUGAAAAACUCUUAUGGGGAGGAAAUUUGGUUUAGUCCUCGUGCGUGAUUAUCAGCUUUUGUAUUUUUGAACACAGCUGGUUCUGUUUAAAGUUUCUUUAGUUAUCAAAAAGAAAAAGAAAAAACAAAAGAGAACAAAGAAAAUAUAUAUUAUUUAUAUAGUUUGGUGAACAGUGAGAGCCCAUUUAAACCAAAGUUUUUAAAAACGAACUGGAAACAGAACCGGUCAGGGGACCGGUUUCUGGU